RNAcentral lists this ribosomal RNA (439 nucleotides) under uncultured bacterium. RNAcentral's name for it is "partial 16S ribosomal RNA". It matches the Rfam family "Bacterial small subunit ribosomal RNA", at positions 339 to 795 of the family's 1533-position model. The record is from RNAcentral.
CUACGGGCUGCUGCAGUGAGGAAUAUUGCACAAUGGGGGGAACCCUGAUGCAGCAACGCCGCGUGGAGGAUGACGCAUUUCGGUGUGUAAACUCCUUUUAUAUGUCAAGAAAAUGACGGUAGCAUAUGAAUAAGCACCGGCUAACUCCGUGCCAGCAGCCGCGGUAAUACGGAGGGUGCAAGCGUUACUCGGAAUCACUGGGCGUAAAGGACGCGUAGGCGGGUUGGAAAGUCAGGUGUGAAAUCCUACAGCUUAACUGUAGAACUGCACUUGAAACUUCUAAUCUAGAGUAUGGGAGGGGGAGAUGGAAUUAGUGGUGUAGGGGUAAUAUCCGUAGAUAUUACUAGGAAUACCUAAAGCGAAGGCGAUCUCCUGGAACAUUACUGACGCUAAGGCGUGAAAGCGUGGGGAGCAAACAGGAGUAGAUACCCUGGUAGUC